CGGACAGCUCUGCGGUCUCCUGAUCAGCCAUGCCGCGUGAGUGAUGAAGGCCUUUUGGUUUUUAAACUCUUUUUGCGAGGAGGAAGCUUACCGGGAUAGUACCUGGGAUAAGUGGACGUUACUCUCAGAAUAAGCACCGGCUAACUCUGUGCCAGCAGCCGCAGUAAU
RNAcentral lists this ribosomal RNA (168 nucleotides) under uncultured bacterium. RNAcentral describes it as "partial 16S ribosomal RNA". It matches the Rfam family "Bacterial small subunit ribosomal RNA", at positions 345 to 524 of the family's 1533-position model. The record is from RNAcentral.